This is a non-coding RNA of Limulus polyphemus (Atlantic horseshoe crab), 69 nucleotides long. NCBI's taxonomy places the organism in Eukaryota, Metazoa, Arthropoda, Merostomata, Xiphosura, Limulidae. The record is from the annotation of a RefSeq genome assembly.
AUUAAUCUGGCAGAUAAGUGUAUUAGAUUUAGAAUCUAAGGAUGGGAAUAAUAAGUUUCUCGGUUAGUG